AUACUUACCUGGUAGGGGAAGCACCAUGAUCACAAAGGUGGUUUUCCCAGGCGAGACUUAUCCAUUGCACUAUGGAUGUGCUGACCCCUGCAAUUUCCCCAAAUGGAGGAAACGCUGCAUAAUUUGUGGUAAUGGGGGACUGCACUCACACUGUCCCCUA
Lontra canadensis (Northern American river otter) is the source of this 160-nucleotide small nuclear RNA. RefSeq annotates it as U1 spliceosomal RNA. The transcript has a single exon. Lineage: Eukaryota; Metazoa; Chordata; Mammalia; Carnivora; Mustelidae. The record is from RefSeq and is a predicted model, not a curated record.